UGUCCCCGUAGGUGGCCACCUGUCCCCGCGGUACCUGCGCGGUGACGGCGUAGAUGCGCUCGAAGGAGUCGCGUUCGUCGCGUGGGGAGGUGG
Molecule: transfer RNA, 93 nt
Filed under: Corallococcus macrosporus DSM 14697
Lineage: Bacteria; Pseudomonadati; Myxococcota; Myxococcia; Myxococcales; Myxococcaceae
Description: Myxococcus macrosporus DSM 14697 tRNA-Gly
Source: RNAcentral